GACGAACGCUGGCGGCGUGCUUAACACAUGCAAGUCGAACGCUGAAGCUCAGCUUUUGUUGGGUGGAUGAGUGGCGAACGGGUGAGUAACACGUGAGUAACCUGCCUCCUUCUUUGGGAUAACGCCCGGAAACGGGUGCUAAUACUGGAUAUUCACUGGUCUUCGCAUGGGGGUUGGUGGAAAGGGUUUUUCUGGUGGGGGAUGGGCUCGCGGCCUAUCAGCUUGUUGGUGGGGUGAUGGCCGACCAAGGCUUUGACGGGUAGCCGGCCGGAGGGGGUGACCGGUCACAUUGGGACUGCGAUACGGCCCAGACUGCUACGGGAGGCAGCAGUGGGGAAUAUUGCACAAUGGGCGCAAGCCUGAUGCAGCGACGCGGCGUGAGGGAUGGAGGCCUUCGGGUUGUGAACCUCUUUCGCUCAUGGUCAAGCCGCAACAAUGGUUGUGGUGAGGGUAGUGGGUAAAGAAGCGCCGGCUAACUACGUG
RNAcentral lists this ribosomal RNA (483 nucleotides) under uncultured bacterium. RNAcentral describes it as "partial 16S ribosomal RNA". It matches the Rfam family "Bacterial small subunit ribosomal RNA", at positions 28 to 507 of the family's 1533-position model. The record is from RNAcentral.